Molecule: ribosomal RNA, 253 nt
Filed under: uncultured bacterium
Lineage: Bacteria
Description: partial 16S ribosomal RNA
Rfam family: Bacterial small subunit ribosomal RNA
Source: RNAcentral
UACGGAGGGUGCAAGCGUUAUCCGGAUUCACUGGGUUUAAAGGGUGCGUAGGUGGAUUAGUAAGUCAGUGGUGAAAGCCCCGAGCUCAACUUGGGAAUUGCCAUUGAUACUGCUAGUCUUGAGUUCGGUUGAGGUAGGCGGAAUAAGUCAUGUAGCGGUGAAAUGCUUAGAUAUGACUUAGAACACCGAUUGCGAAGGCAGCUUACCAAGCCGACACUGACACUGAGGCACGAAAGCGUGGGGAUCAAACAGG